UACGUAGGGUGCAAGCGUUAAUCGGAAUUACUGGGCGUAAAGCGUGCGCAGGCGGCUUUGCAAGACAGAUGUGAAAUCCCCGGGCUUAACCUGGGAACUGCAUUUGAGACUGCAUUGCUAGAGUAUGGGAGAGGGAAGUGGAAUUUCCGGUGUAGCGGUGAAAUGCGUAGAUAUCGGAAGGAACAUCAGUGGCGAAAGCGACUUCCUGGACCAAUACUGACGCUCAUGUGCGAAAGCGUGGGGAGCAAACAGG
RNAcentral lists this ribosomal RNA (253 nucleotides) under uncultured bacterium. RNAcentral's name for it is "partial 16S ribosomal RNA". It matches the Rfam family "Bacterial small subunit ribosomal RNA", at positions 524 to 776 of the family's 1533-position model. The record is from RNAcentral.